This 420-nucleotide RNase P RNA is filed under the name Pukyongiella litopenaei. RNAcentral's name for it is "Bacterial RNase P class A". It matches the Rfam family "Bacterial RNase P class A". Rfam says of the family: Ribonuclease P (RNase P) is a ubiquitous endoribonuclease, found in archaea, bacteria and eukarya as well as chloroplasts and mitochondria. Its best characterised activity is the generation of mature 5'-ends of tRNAs by cleaving the 5'-leader elements of precursor-tRNAs. Lineage: Bacteria; Pseudomonadati; Pseudomonadota; Alphaproteobacteria; Rhodobacterales; Paracoccaceae. The record is from Rfam by way of RNAcentral.
GCGGAGGGCCGGACGGCCGCUUGGCCGGUUCGCCGGCCGGGAGGAAAGUCCGGACUCCCUGAAGCAGCGGUGCCGGGUAACGCCCGGGCGGGGCAACCCGACGGAGAGCGCCACAGAGAACAGACCGCCCCGGCAUGGCGGAGGUUCGCCUCCGGCAGGUCCGGGGCAAGGGUGAAACGGUGGAGUAAGAGCCCACCGCGCCCCCGGCAACGGGGGCGGCAUGGCAAGCCCCACCGGGAGCAAUGCCGAAUAGGACCCCCGCGCGGGACCGGUCCCUUCGGGGAAACCGCCGCUAGGCUCGCUUCAGCCGAGAGGGGUCGGGUUGGCAGCACGAGCCGCACAGCGAUGCGCGGCCCAGAUGAAUGGUCGUCGCCGGGGGCAACCCCGGAACAGAAUCCGGCUUACAGGCCCUCCGCGCAU